AUGCGGCAGAUCUCGUCGAUGCUGCAGGGGCUGGCCCGCUCCAUGUCUCUGGGGAAGGAGAGGAAGGAGGCGGAGGAGCCGCAGGGGACGGUGCUGCGGUCGUCGGGGACGCUCUGGGGCGAGGGCUCCGAGACCUUCGCCGCGGUGUGCUCCCGCCGCGGCGAGAAGGGCACCAACCAGGACACCUCCAUCGUCUGGGAGGGAUACGGGUGCCAGGACGACACCAUCUUCUGCGGCGUCUUCGACGGGCACGGCCAGUGGGGCCACUACGUCGCCAAGGCCGUCCGGGAGUCGCUGCCGCAGUCGCUUCUGUGCCACUGGCAGGAAGCCGUCGCGCUGACGUCCCUCAUCGACGGCGAGAAGAGGCUCAGCGACUGCCAGUUCGACCUCCUGAAGCAGUCCUACCUGGCCGCCGCCGCCGCCGUGGACGAGGAGCUCCGCCGAAGCCGGCGCCUCGACGCCGUCAACAGCGGCUGCACGGCUCUGUCCAUCGUCAAGCAGGGCGACCUGAUGGUGGUCGCCAACGUCGGCGACUCGCGGGCCGUCCUUGCGACCACGUCGGACGACGGGGACGUCACGGCCGUCCAGCUCACCGUCGACUUCAAGCCCGACUUACCCCAGGAGAAGGCGCGCAUCACGCAGUGCCAGGGCCGCGUGCACUGCCUCGACGACGAGCCCGGCGUGCACCGGGUGUGGGUGCCCCACCGGGAGGCGCCGGGGCUGGCCAUGUCGCGCGCGUUCGGCGACUACUGCGUCAAGGACUACGGCGUCAUCUCGGCGCCGGAGGUGACACAGAGGAGGAUCACCGCCCGGGACCAGUUCGUCAUCCUGGCCACCGACGGGGUCUGGGACGUGCUCUCCAACGAGGAGGCCGUGCGGAUCGUGGCGGCCACGCCGGACAGGGAGAAGGCGGCGAAGCGGCUCGUCGAGUGCGCCGUCCGCGGGUGGAGGCGCAAGCGGCGGGGCAUCGCCGUCGACGACUGCUCGGCGGUCUGCCUCUUCUUCCACACGCCGGCACCCUGA
This 1023-nucleotide ribosomal RNA is filed under the name Triticum aestivum (bread wheat). RNAcentral's name for it is "partial small subunit ribosomal RNA". Lineage: Eukaryota; Viridiplantae; Streptophyta; Magnoliopsida; Poales; Poaceae. The record is from RNAcentral.